RNAcentral lists this long non-coding RNA (562 nucleotides) under Ananas comosus (pineapple). RNAcentral's name for it is "long non-coding RNA (ACOM_LNC010254)". Lineage: Eukaryota; Viridiplantae; Streptophyta; Magnoliopsida; Poales; Bromeliaceae. The record is from RNAcentral.
GUAGUGUUACUUUUUGGUUCUUGUACAUACUGAUGUUAUAUUCUCGAUGGAGCGAGUAUUUUUGUAUCUGGAUACUAUGUAUGUAUUUGAACCGAUGUUAUUUAUAUAUGUUUCUUUUUAGCAGCUCUAUACUACUGAUUGUAGUACUGUUGUAUGAUUAUAGGUACGAGUACAGCUAUCGCUUCGUAUACAAAGAAAAUUUUUUUAUGUACGGCGGGUCUGUUAGCGUGCCCGGGGAAACGAGUAAUCCGGAGCGUGACAGAUUAAGUUGGUAUCAGAGCUUAGCAUUAGGUCGUUGGAACCUAGGAACCCUAAGCUUGGCAAACCUUAGGAAGAUAAGACGCGAGAUGCGUGAUUUAUCACGAAAGUCAGCGAUUGAAUUGUUUUAACUUUUCCUAGAGUGGAGUGAGUGACUGAAGAAGCGUCUGGUUCGACCAAGGAAAUUAUCUCUGCUGCAGACGACAUAAUUUUGAGGAGAAAUAGGGGCCGCCUUCUAGACUUUCGUUUGAUUGGGUCGGGAGUUGUAAUAUACCGAAACUUCGGUAAAUAAAUAUCGAACUUU